GUCAGAAUCAAAAUAUUUAGGCUGCCUCCCAUGUGUGUUCUAAAUCAGGCUGAGCUCUUGCACAGAAAUGUGAAAUAAAUAAGCAAACCCUCCCUGGGGGCUCGUGCACACACAGAUAGGAAACCAUUCUUAUUAGGGGAAAGUAAACUGUGUUUGGUAAAUCCAGAAACUGAAUCCAUACAGAUUUAAUGCAGAAAAUGCAUGUAUCCCCCUUUGUAACAUUAGCAUGAGUCCACUAUUUCUUUUCCAGCAACACCCAGAACUGGGCCACAGUUUCCACCCUGCACUCCUGAUUUGAAACAACAACAAUAACCACAGAAGGGUUUUACAAAGUUAAGGGGCAGCACAAUCACUGUUGUCUCUGUUAGCCAGGUCUUCAGCAGGAAGAGGGAAGAACAUAUUUCUGGAGGCUCUGGAGCAGAUUCAUGGAUUCUGGAGUAUUUUCUUCUCCCCAGACAUCAUUCCAGGGCAUGUUUUUUAGAUGGCCUACCUGGCCAAGAUGAAUGUCAAACCUGAGCACUGUAAUGUGUUAGCAAUGAGGAGAAUCUAAGAUACUUUUUGUCUCAACAAAGAAACAAGUCAUAAAUCAUAAGUAAGACACCUGCUGUUGCUUUUUCUGAUCUUUUUUUUCCUUGGCUUGAGGUUUUUGAAAAAACCUGACAGUGACUUUAAAGCUUUGGGGGGACUUUGCACCUUCAGAAAGAGGAAGGUAAACUUUGAGGUUAUGAUAAGGCUGCAGAAACACAGCAGAGAGUUAAAACAGUGAAUAUAUUCACUGAAGGCAGGAUUACACUAAAUCUUGUAUGUUU
This 809-nucleotide long non-coding RNA is filed under the name Zonotrichia albicollis (white-throated sparrow). RNAcentral's name for it is "lncRNA (ENSZALG00000004060.1)". Lineage: Eukaryota; Metazoa; Chordata; Aves; Passeriformes; Passerellidae. The record is from RNAcentral.